RNAcentral lists this long non-coding RNA (5629 nucleotides) under Sus scrofa (pig). RNAcentral describes it as "lncRNA (ENSSSCG00030009746.1)". The record is from RNAcentral. Lineage: Eukaryota; Metazoa; Chordata; Mammalia; Artiodactyla; Suidae.
GUUAAGUGCUUUCCAUUGUGGCCUUUAACAAAUACUGAAGUUACGAGGGCUCAAGGCUAAAGCCAUAACAGGAAGAAAUGACAAUGAAAUUUGAGAUGGGAUAACAGAUAGCCUUCUCUCUGGAGUCCAUCACAUGUGCUUCUUAGUUAGGUCCCGUAUCCUAGCUAUUUCUAUAACUUUGGCUAGUCUGCCUGCAAAUUCUGAAGUCAACUUGCCAGGUCUUGACGCUUCCUGAUCUUUCAUAAGGAGAACCAUGUUUGAGCACUGGUUUCUGCUCCUUCCAGGUCUCUCCUAUUGCCUUCUGUUUGUGUUCACCUAACUUCACUCCUUAGCUCAAAUUGGUCUAUUUUUGCCCCCAUCGUGAUUGUUAGAUUUCUCCUGGUAACUAAGCAGUUAAAAAAAAAAAAAAAUCCUUUUUGCCUCAAGGUAGAAAUAAGAGUUUAGUGGGGAAAAAAAAUACAGAUGUGACAGGUGUGUGUGUAUUCAAAGAAGCAAUGUGUCUAGUGUCUAGAGACUUUUUCUUGUCUCUAAGCUCUAAACAAUAGAGGAGCUAAGGCACCAGGGUCACUGGCCUGUCAGGGGAUCCAAAUUACAGUUGUUUCUAGUCCACCAUCCUCCAGCUGCUCCCUUGAGCCAGAGCUGUACUGGCUGACUUUGUAGGACAAUGUGGGUAACAUCUGAAAUCUACAAGGCUCUAGAUUUUCCUCUUUUUAGGUAGAGUUCUAGAGUAUGAUGGCCACAUCAGGAAGUCCCUCGCCUUGUCUACUUCCUGUAAGACAAGGAACUUAAGCUCAGAUUCUGUUAGCUAUAGAGAGGUCCAGAGAGCAGGAAGUGCUUGCUAAGGCAGUCUUCUUGAGUAGCAUCCACUAGGAAACAUAGCCCAACAGAGAGCCUCAUCUGUUUGUGAAAGAGGACAAACUAGAAACAUUCACUCAGCCCAGUUUAACCCAACUUUAAACAUGUACAGAAGAGGGAAGUAGUGGGAAGGGGUCAGACACCCUGUAGGAAAUGGGUUUGCCCCCUAACAUUGUAGAGUAAAAUGAGCUUUUCUGACUUGAGCUUGCAUUCUGAUUUUUGCCAAUCAUUAUAUGACCAUAAAUAUGUAAUCUCAUUGAACUGUUUCCUUAUCUGUAAAAUAAGAGUAUAAUACCUACUUCACCAGCUUUUUUAAGGAUCAGGUGAAAUAAUACAUGUAAAGUGAGUAGUGGAGUUCCUGGUACAUGCAGGCGGUUUACACAUGGAAGCCUGCAACCUCAUUUUGUCUGUCUCCUGUCCCUCAUCCCUAAGUUCACAGAGUACACUUUGGUCCCCCUCGUCCCUAAGCUCACAGAGUACACUUGGGUCUUCAUGGGAGUCUAUGUACUUUUUACAACCUUUAGUGUUCAGUCAUCUUAUCACCCUCUAGUGGGAAAAGAUAGUAAUAGAGAAAUAGAUAAAUACGUUUUAAAGGGUUCUCAGGAAGAGGGAGAGCAAAGGAUAAUAAGCUGGAUCCAUUUCUAAUAAAAAUUUAAAAAUAUAACGCAUUUUCAAGGAGAUGCUAUUCACAUGUCUUCCCAGUUGAUAGGCAUGUACCAUUUCCUUCCAUUAGAAUCUGUUGGUUUCUCAAAUGUGCUUCUCCUAAGACAUCUGUGUACUUAAAUGCUUUUUUUUUUUUUCUUUUUUUCUUUUUAGGGCCACACCAGCGGCAUAUGGAGGUUCCCAGGCUAGGGAUCUAAUCGGAGCUACAGCUCCCAGCCUAUGCCACAGCCACAGCCACGCCAUAUCUGAGCCUUGUCUGUAACCUAUACCACAGCUCAUGGCAACGCUGGAUCCUUAACCCACUGAGCAAGGCCAGGGGUCGAACCUGCAACCUUAUGGUUCCUAGUCGGAUUCGUUUCCACUGCCACAGCGGGAACUCCUUAAAUGUCUUCUGAAUUUUACAGUUGGUUGCCAAAAUGAACUUUAGUUUAUGGUCAGUUUCUGAUUAAUUCCUGCUAUUUGCAGUUUUAAAAAUACUUAUAUUUUAAACCGUGGUAGUUCUAAGUGUUGGUCAUGUUUAAACUAUAUCCUAUUCAGUAUAGAUAACUAAAGAUUAUUUUACUUAUGGAUUUUAAUUGUAGACCCCAAAAAAUCUUCCCACAGAAAGGAGAAUUUAGAAAAAUUUUAAUAGUGUUCCAUUGAUUUGUAUUUUAUGCAGAUUAUAAACUUCUCUAAGUAUCCACAAAUAAUACAAAUAGUUAUACUCAAAAUAUUUUGAGACGGAUUAUUUCAUAUGUAUAUAAUUAAGGUAAACAGAUCUUUAUGCAUGGUGUUUUUGUUGGUGAUAGGGAAGAUGAUAUGAAGAGGAUAAAGGGUACAUCAUGAUGGGUUCUGUUUUUACUUUGGUUGGUAACUCCAAAAUCAUGUCUCAGUCUCCCAUCAUUAACCCACACCUCAGCCCUGCAUUUCUAGCUGUCCAUUGGGCAUGCACCUGAGUGAUCCCCUGAAAACUAAAACUACUAUUUCUUUCUUUCUACCGACUUUUUGUUUUCCUCCUCAGAUUUUCUAGUCUCUUAAUAUUCUAGUCUCCUGGUCAUUUAGUGGAAAAUGGUUUGACCUUUUCUUAUCACCUAAGCUUAUGUGUCUGCUGAAGAGUUUAACACAUUUGAACAUCUGAUCUUCCUUUUUCUUACCCCAGGCACUUGUAAGAUGAAAAUUGGAGAGCCAGUGUUUAAUCAUUUUUAGAGAGGGAGUUCCCUGGUGACUCAAUGGAUUAAGGAUCUGGUUUUGUCACUGAUGUGGCUUGGGUUUGAUCCCUGGCCUUGAAAUUUCCUCAUGCCGUGGGCAUGGCCAAAAAAUUUAAAAAAAAAUUUUUUUUUAAUUAAAAAGAAAAAUCUGAAAAGCAUCUUUAAUUUUCUGUGUGCACCAGGCUAUAAUGCCAUGUCCUUGACAGUGUGUUGGCAGUAUGAAUGACUAGAUGAAUUUUUAAAAAUUUUAGUUCUGUAUAGAUCAGUAACCUCAGUCUAAAUAUCUGGUGCCCCAUGAUGAAGCCACAUCUGUAGGUGGACACUUGAGGUCUUUUACAGUCUGACCAGUUUCUUUCUGCCUGCUUUCAUCUCGAUUCCUCCACUUGCUUUUAUGAACCCUGAUUAUCUCCAGCUAGCUGAAUCCUUCAAAAUCCAGGCCAAAUUCCAUCUCUAUCUUUACAUCUUCCUAGAACUGGAAAAUUCCAUUCUUUGAGCUCAUUGUUGGUUCCUAUGUGCAGUUCAUUUUGUAUCGCCUUUUGAGUUUGGGGGUAAGUUUUGCCUUGAGAUGACAUUUAAUUCUUUUAUUUGUUUUGAACAGUAGACAUCUGAUAUAUUUGUCCUGUAGUGCUGAUUCAGGUUGAGAGUUGCAGUUUCACAAUUUGUAAUGCGAACAAUUCUCAUUUCACCUCUUAAGAUAUUCCCAAGCUAAACUAUAAAUUAUAAAUAGGCAUGCCAUUAAGUUUAGCUUAAAACUCAGAUAUUCAGUAUCAAGAGAGUUACACUGAAGAUAACAAUUAAUAGUUCUGGCCUAAGACUCCCCUGAGGAGAAGCUGAUACCCCAGUUUAAGAACCAUGCUGCUAAAGUGUAGAAAUCAACUGAAGGCCACUGGUACCAUCAUUAAAAGUCAUAUUUUAAAGGAAAUUUAAUAAUAGGAAAAGCUUAUAAAUAUAAUACCUACUAAAAAUAUAGAACUCAAAACUGUAUAUAGUGUGAUCCUAACGAUUCUGAAAUAAACAUGUAAUAUUCUAUAUGCAUGGGAAAAGAUCAGAAAGUAUUAAACCAAAUGCUAGGAAUCAUUUCUAAAUGUGGUUGAAUUAUUUCUCUUUUUUGUUACAUACUUUUCAGAACUUCUUAAGCUCAUUACAACAGGCAUAUAUUACUGUUGUUUAUUAGGGGGAAGAAAACCCUAUGUCUACUAGAAACCAGCUCUUAUUCUACUUAGUCUUUUUUCAUGACUUCCAUAAUGUAUAAUGCUCCAAUGGAAGAUUGGAUAAAAAGGCAUCUUUCACAAGGAAGGGCAUUAUGUAAUGAUCUCUUCAUGAAAAUGUAGCUGAGUAUUGUGCACAAAAGCAAUGAACUCCUUAAGAGUGCUUUGUGCAACCAGUUCUUUACAUCUCUAGGACUCAGGGGCCGCCCUGGCAAUUCUCUAAGGUCAGCUAACCACAUUAUUAGAAGAGUAGUGGUUAGCAAGAUGGUAUCUUUCUUUGUUUUUAAGACAUUUAUUUAAUACGUGAUUCCUUUAGAGAGUUAUGUAGAGUAGCCUUGACAGCACUUUUAGCUCUCCCUGAAACAUGAAUCUCUUUCAUUUAAAAAUCCUUCUGUGAGCAGUUUCAGAGUUUGUCUUUUAAAAUACAAUUCUAAAGUGCUUUACCAGGAAGUCACUAGUGCUUUCCCUCCCCACCCAUGUUCCCAAGCCCUCGUUUCUUCAAACCAAUGAACAUUUUUAAAACUGCUUAGGUUUUCCUAAUUUUAAGUCUUCUGAGGUAGAAUUGGGAGGGGACCUUUGAGAUCACCAAGUCCCCACCUGUGCCGAGUAACUGUAUCAAGAGACUCAAGCUUGAAAAUGAAGUCACCACUGGGAAAUACUGCAGUGUAAGGUAGCAUUAUGUUUGCAGACCUUUUUUUAUGUUGACAUCUAUUACUCUUCCUUCUUCCUUGCUCUUUCAUGUAGAACAGUGGCAGCCUUUCUUAUAGAAGACUGUCCUCCCAUUUCUCCCUAAUCUUCUCUCCAAACCUAAUGCCUUCAACAUACUUUCCAGGGUUACCAUCCUCGUGGCCCUUCUCUGGACAAAUUGGCCUUGAAGGGUUGUGUCCUGUAGUCAAAGGUGCUGCUGUAGUACCUUUACUUGUUCUUAAUCUGAACCUCAUCAAUGCAAUGGCAAACACAUUGAUAAAAGUACUCCUACUACUAAUAAACCACUUAGUGAACACUAUUUACUAUGUGCUAGGACACCGUGCUAAAUACUUUAAAUAAAUAUCACUUAAUCUUAACAGUUUGGUUAAUUUUAACAGUUCCAGUAGAUUCUAAUUUUUAUUUCCAUGUCAAAGAUGAGAAAUAAAUGAAAUAAAUAAUUCAUCAGUGGUCAGUCAUCUGAUAAGUAGUGGAGCUAGGAAUUUGAAGCUAGAUCUCAUUCUGGUUCUGAGUUGUUGCACUUUGUUAAAAUUGAAAAAUUCAGUCAAACAGUAUUAGUAAUUUUGGGGGCAAGUGGGCAAUAAAAUAACCCAUAAGGCCACCUAACAUCUGUUUUUAUGCUCCCCCAAAGUUGCCUCAUGGUAUAUUUGACUCAUAUCAUAGUGUAUUAAAAUUCUUUUUCUGUCUCCCUCCUAUUCAAUAUCUUUGAUUUCUUAUUUAUCUUUCUUGAUAGUGCUUAUCAUGUAUAAGACAUCCCAGAACCUAAUAAUUUGUCAGUAAUUAGUGAAUAAACUUUUACAUAUGACUUGCCAGUCCUGGACUACAUGGGUACAUGUUUCAUGUAUCUACGAUCAGUGUAUAUACUGUUUUGCAUUCCUGCUUCUUGUAACAUCCUUGUGCAGGUUUUAUGUAGGCAUAAGUUUUCAACUUCUUUGGGUAAGUACCAGUGAGCAUGAUUGUUGGAUCAAAUAGUAAGCAUAUGUUUAAUUUUAUAAGAAAUUGCCAAACUCC